AUUGAACGCUGGCGGCAUGCCUUACACAUGCAAGUCGAACGGCAGCACGGGAGCAAUCCUGGUGGCGAGUGGCGAACGGGUGAGUAAUAUAUCGGAACGUGCCCAGUCGUGGGGAUAACGUAGCGAAAGCUACGCUAAUACCGCAUACGAUCUAUGGAUGAAAGCGGGGGAUCGCAAGACCUCGCGCGAUUGGAGCGGCCGAUAUCAGAUUAGGUAGUUGGUGAGGUAAAGGACUCACCAAGCCGACCGAUCUGUAGCUGGUCUUGAGAGGACGACCAGCCACACUGGGACUGAGACACGGCCCAGACUCCUACGGAGGCAGCA
RNAcentral lists this ribosomal RNA (324 nucleotides) under uncultured bacterium. RNAcentral describes it as "bacterial SSU rRNA". It matches the Rfam family "Bacterial small subunit ribosomal RNA", at positions 30 to 353 of the family's 1533-position model. The record is from RNAcentral.